CGUAUAAUUUUCCCAGAAAAUAGCAAUACGUACAUAUAUAGAAAUCAUGCUCGACAGCAGUGAAAACCAAGUAUAUGCCAUGUCGAGUAUCUCAGUAAUAAAUAUGUAAGCCAAGUGAAACAAUUCAAUGUAAAAUUAUAUGUCAGUCGGAGUCACCUAAUGUGACCUGUACGGCUGAACCUAUAGCUCAGCACUCUAAUCCUGCACACGAGUUGGAACCACCUCAGGUGGUAUGUACAACAGGGUUGGGUGCAAAUAAGUACGCUCAAGUGCGAUAAAUCGCGGGUCACCUAUGAGUUGGAACCACCUAUUGUAGUCUGUACAACAGGGCUGUGCACCAAACUUGGUUCCAAGGUAAACGUGUGGUGCGGGAGGUGAACAUCACGUGAAGGAAUGUGCCCUGGCCACGGGCAGAAGCACUAGCACCGGGGUGCAGGAUAAUGAGCUCUAAACACAUCUCAUCACAAUCAUAUACACUGCAAUCUCUAUCAUCAACAUCUACUCACCUAAAACUUAACUGAGCGUCCGCAAUGUCAAAUACUAACAUACAUAACUACUAAUGCAUAUUCUAAAAUAUAAAACAAUUGACAUGGCAUUUAAAAUGCAAAAUCAUUUAAAUAAAUUUUCUGGAAAAAACGUAAAGCAUAUAUACAUAUAUUGAAAACCAAAAGCCCACUCACUUGGAUUCCGCGCUACAACUCCCUAGGACACACCUCAAGGAGUCAUGAACAAUCGACGCCUAGAACAAUUAUCAAAUCAUGUCUCAGAAAUUUUAUCGAUAAAAUAUGUAACUUACAUAAAACACAUCCCUACGUAAUUCGAUCCGGAAGAUCCGCAUCGCGGAUUUCUGAUCCCUUACUUCCAAAGAUCCACAUUAUGCUUAUAGAACAACAUACUAAAGUUUCAUUACGAUACAACGGUUGGAUCUCUGCCAAUUACAAAUUCAAGUGGCGGUUAACGUUUUAUUUUAUCAACUUACAAAUCCAAUUCAGGAAGAUCCGUACGUCGGAUUCCCGAUCCGUAAGUUUCUAUGGUCCUCAAAUAUUACGUACUAUAACAUAUU
RNAcentral lists this long non-coding RNA (1063 nucleotides) under Malus domestica (apple). Its description in RNAcentral is "long non-coding RNA (MDOM_LNC008385)". Lineage: Eukaryota; Viridiplantae; Streptophyta; Magnoliopsida; Rosales; Rosaceae. The record is from RNAcentral.